Molecule: long non-coding RNA, 1863 nt
Filed under: Theobroma cacao (cacao)
Lineage: Eukaryota; Viridiplantae; Streptophyta; Magnoliopsida; Malvales; Malvaceae
Description: long non-coding RNA (TCAC_LNC003287)
Source: RNAcentral
UCAUACAUACUGUAAUACAGAAAACCAAAGUAUAAAAUUUAAUUUACAGUGACACGUGAGCCCACGAAUAACUAAAAGUAUUAAAAGAAAUGAACCUACAGUUUUUGGAUGUGGCAAGUCCAACUGAAGUCCUCAACGAUAUCAGUUGUCUACAAUCUAUUUUGAGCUUGAAAUGGGUGAAAAUGAGGGUGGUGAGAUUAUAAAAUCCCAGCGAGUAAACAAAUACCAUCUAAACCAUCUAAAGUCAAGUAAAUGGAUAUAGGUAAAACAAUUUAACAUACUAAAAUUCAUCACCUUUCAACUUGUUUCAACCAAAUAAAAUUUAUUCAUAUAAAUCGAGUAAUUAACAUGGCUUAUGAAUUUCUUAAAGCUUAGCUCAUGCCAAAAAUUAUUCUCAUACUUAGUUAUCAGGGAUUCCUUGAUCGAGGGCUAUCCCAAACCGAGUCCGCCAAGGCUAUUAAAAAGUUAUAUACUCAUAAAUCAUGUUUUUAUUUAGAAAAUAUAGCCGUUCCUUGGCGUUGGCUGAGUUCGGCCUCAAGUGGUGGUUUGGCGUGCAGUGAACUCUAAAAGUUAUACCUCGGGAGUUACCCUACUCGUCUCUCCAACCAAGAUAAAAUAUGUCAGGAUUCCGUGCCCCUUUAAUAGGCUAGUCCACAGAACCCAGCCCACUGCAGCAAGUAAUAUCCACCAUACAAUAAAAUUUUGACAGCAUGACGUGACUAAUAUUAUACUACCUAGCCUGUAAAUGUAAAACAGAACAAUUCAUACAGUUCACUAAAACCACAACCCAGCCAGUCAUGCCAACACAUUAACAUAAGCCAUCAAUUCAGAUCAUAAAUUUACAACACAUCAGGGGUCUCCAAUUACUCUAUUUUCAAAAUCAUCAUUCAAUUUCAAGACAAUUUAUAAAAUCUUUUCAUUUAAACACAUUUUGUUUAUAAACAUAAAGGUUUACCAUUUAAACCCAUUUUUCAUAAAAUCAUAAAAUCGGAUAAAAAUCACUUUAGAUAAUUAAGACGAUAGUAAGGUUACUCACCGUACUAGGAGUUCGAUAUACUCCUAUUUUGGGGUCUUUGGGCACAAUCUCUUUACCCUUGUUGGAAGGCUCACCACCUAUACAUCAUACAUGACACGAAUUUCAAUAAAUUAUGUUAAUUUAUCAUAAACUAUUUCAGGCUCUAUAAAACUAUAUGAAUGCACGAAAUGUGAUGCAAAAUGUCCGAAUAGCCGUUUAAAUACGGUAUUCAACCUAAUUCGCACUAUUCUCGGUGUAAUUGGCUAAAACCUCUAAUUUAACUCCAAAUCAAUUUCUUUUACUUUUUACACUCCAAUUAUACUUAAAAUACCUCAAUGACUGUGAAUAUGUUUCAAUUUAUCAGUCCGAACUAUAAAUCGAACAUGUAUAUACUUUAGGUAAAAAUUCAGAUUUUCAUGCCAAAAUUUUCCAUUAAAUUUCUAGCCUCAUCAAUCAUUAAAUACCACCAAAAUAUAAUGAAAUAUCAUCAAUUUCAGCCUCAAUAUCCUCCCUUGGAAAUUCGGCCUCUUGUGGGUAAUAGAGAAAAUGAAUUUUUCUUGUUGGCUUUUCUUGCCACACAUCACUAACUAACUAAAAACACUAGAAUAUCUUAAAAUCUAACCAAAACAUCAUCAAAUUCUCUCUCCUAGGUGUUCGGCUAGCAAGGGCUUCAUCAUGAAAACUUGAUUUCUAAGCAUGGAAAAUGGAAAAGAAAGCAUGGGUAGUGUAAAUCACAAGUCAAAAUCAAGAAAUUUUACUUUUAUUAGCUUAAUCCCUUGAAAUCCCACACUUUUUCUUCAAUUUUCCCACCUUGGGUUCUUGUUCUUCUUUUCUUCCUUUUGUUUUCC